RNAcentral lists this long non-coding RNA (316 nucleotides) under Sorghum bicolor (sorghum). Its description in RNAcentral is "long non-coding RNA (SBIC_LNC002136)". The record is from RNAcentral. Lineage: Eukaryota; Viridiplantae; Streptophyta; Magnoliopsida; Poales; Poaceae.
UGCGUUUGAUACUGACAGGGAAAUUAUUUCUGAUGGUGAACUCACAAUGAAAUUAAAUUUCCCUAUCAAGCUAACCCUGUUGGUAUUUUUUGUCGGUUUGCCAUCAGAAAAUGGUUUCUCUAUCAGUAUUCGAUUUUUGUGUCAGUAUAUUCCUCAGUAGGUUCAGUUUUGGCGUUGUGGCUUCCUGAUGCUUCUCAGUCCUGAAUGUACUAUUUAAUUUAUAGGUCUCUUGCAUGCUCCAUGCAUUCUGCUUCAUCAUUUCAUUUACUGGCUAACAAACAGGCUAGUAUACCAUAUAGGAACUCGUCUAUGGGCU